GGAUAGAAGUGAAAAUCCUUUUAUUUUUCUUUGACAAAUGGAAAAAUAAAAGAUUGUAACGAAUAGCCCGACUU
Molecule: small RNA, 74 nt
Filed under: Cloacibacterium normanense
Lineage: Bacteria; Pseudomonadati; Bacteroidota; Flavobacteriia; Flavobacteriales; Weeksellaceae
Description: Flavo-1 RNA
Rfam family: Flavo-1 RNA
Source: RNAcentral